UACGUAGGGUGCGAGCGUUAAUCGGAAUUACUGGGCGUAAAGCGUGCGCAGGCGGUUCGUUGUGUCGGCGGUGAAAGCCCCGGGCUUAACCUGGGAAUGGCCGUUGAAACUGGCGAACUGGAGUGUGGCAGAGGGGGGUGGAAUUCCGCGUGUAGCAGUGAAAUGCGUAGAGAUGCGGAGGAACACCGAUGGCGAAGGCAGCCCCCUGGGCUGACACUGACGCUCAGGCACGAAAGCGUGGGGAGCAAAC
Molecule: ribosomal RNA, 250 nt
Filed under: uncultured bacterium
Lineage: Bacteria
Description: partial 16S ribosomal RNA
Rfam family: Bacterial small subunit ribosomal RNA
Source: RNAcentral